CCCGUGCUCAUUCGCUCCCCUUCCCGGCCACUUAUCCUAGAGGGCCUCAGCCUCCUAGAGGGCCCCAGCCUCCUCCCACGCCGUUUAUCCCCCGAUGAGGCCGCCACCUCAAUCCCCUGCCCAACUCGGUUCGUCACGAGCAGUGAAGGAAAGAUGACCCCGCCGCCUUGGGUUAGAUAAGCCACUGCGAGCUCGUCCGGGAUCUGAGCGCACCCCUCGCAUCCACCGUUCAUCAUCCACUUGGCCGCAACCAUCCACAAGAAGAGGGGAUGUCACGACAGUCGGGUCAUGGAUCAUCCACUUUGACCUUGCACGUUCGCAACACACUUUCUCUAUACCGAUAUCGUAGUUGCAGUAUGCGGCUACGGUUGGAGGGUCGUCACCGGCGUGGCACCGAUGCGUCCCUUCCCUCUGCCUGGAGCUGCAAGUGGAAGAAGGCCAAUCACCAUGGAAGGCAAGGAAGAAAAAGGAGGUUAUGAUACCAACAACCAUCAACCAUUAGGAGGAGGAAUAUAAAACAAGUUCAGAAGCCAUGGACCAUGCUCAGCCUGAUUUUAGGCACCCUCAAAUAUAGGUAAUACAUCAGUUUGAUGGCACAAACAGCUUACUCCCUGAAUAAAAAAGGUUCUUUGCUUGAAUAUGUAUGUCUCUGACACAUGGUUGAAAAAGGAUAAAACUAGAAAAGCAAAAGAGGACCCUAAGCUUUUUAGUAUCAUCUUGUUCUGAGGCCACAAUCCUGUAGCAUACUAGCAUGUGUUCCGCUAAGUUUUUCCCAAUUUUAUUAGUUUGUGCCUUGAAUACGAUCAUCGCAGGUUUAUCCAUUUAUCAUUUCGAUACUUUCUUAUUUCUGCAAUAACAACAAAUGGUAGCUAGGUUGCAAUCUGUA
This is a long non-coding RNA of Triticum dicoccoides, 886 nucleotides long. RefSeq lists it as uncharacterized. The record is from RefSeq and is a predicted model, not a curated record. NCBI's taxonomy places the organism in Eukaryota, Viridiplantae, Streptophyta, Magnoliopsida, Poales, Poaceae. The transcript is spliced from 3 exons.